AAAAAAAAAAAUGUACAGUUUAAAAUAUUCUCUAGUUGGAAAAUUUUUGCUAUUUUCCUUUUCCAUUAAAUUCUUUGAUUAUCAUCAUCAAAUUAUAUGGUAACUAUCAAUCACUGUAAAAUAUCAUCUGUAAAAUUUAAACAUAGGUAAUGUAUUGGGUGCUCAUUGAACUUGUGCCAAAAAUUUCAUUAUUUAAAAUAAUAAUAAAAAGUCAAUAUAGUUUGUUUGGGGAAAAGAAUAGUCAAUGUGCAGAAAUUAUGUUAGACUUGUAAAUAAAUGUAUUCUGCACUUAUGCUGUGUAUAUCCUAUUUAGCCAGAUGGAUUUUGUGAUGUAGAAAGUGGAUCUUGAAUAGUCAUCUACACUUAAGCGUGCCUUGGAGACAUUCAAGCAAUGGCCGAAAUUUCUCGAAGAUGGAUAUCAUCGUUUCCGAACAAAGAACAACGAAUCGUGAAUGCAGCCGAAUCCUCGUCGAAAAAAACAGAUGUCAAUGUUUGGAUCACCUGUUUUGUAUCAAUUUGGAAUAGCAUCUUUCAGGGAAAGCCAUUAUUAUUAUUCCCCUUUGUAUAUAAUGCCAAAUUUAUUAUUUCAAAUGAGCAGCUAUGUGUGUAUUAAAUGCUGUAGUCAUUUCAAAGAAUUCUUUGACACAACAUGCAAAUCAGAUGUAGUCAAAGGACUGAACAUCCUAAAACAG
RNAcentral lists this long non-coding RNA (692 nucleotides) under Androctonus crassicauda. The record is from RNAcentral. Lineage: Eukaryota; Metazoa; Arthropoda; Arachnida; Scorpiones; Buthidae.